GUUUCCGGCCAACACGUUUAGUACAAAGUGCAUGAAGUGGUGAAUUUCUGGAAUCUAUGUCUGUUUGACUCUAUCAAACGAAAAGCGAUUUGUAACGUCGAAGUAUAACAUAAAAACAUCAGUGUUUGGGUACAAAAGGGGUCGAAUGCGAUUAUAUUCUUCGCCGCUGGAGCUGCCGAUGACAAGGAAGUCCACUUGAAUCUCCGAGGAAGACAAUCUUUAUAGGUGGUUUUUCGUGCUCCAUUGCUGCCAGAAUUGCUUCGCUAUCAGGAAUUUCACUGUUUCACUCGUGACGUCAACUAUUGGAUCAUGGCCACUGAGUGGACUCCUUUGGCUUGUUUGUCAUCUUGCAUGCAAAGAAAUAAAGCCGAUAAGGAAUUGAAAGUUGCCCUUAUUGUAAUAAAUAUGCCAUUAGGUGGUAUGUUUGACAAGUUCAAGAAAUUGUGCAAUAUUGCAAGUGUUAAGAGUUACACUGAUGGAGGCAGCAGCCAAGUUUUUAACGUAGUUGGUGAGGAGCAAGAAAAAUAUCUGCCAGACUAUAUCAGUGGUGAUUUUGACUCAGUUGAUCCUGACAUUUUAAACUUUUACAAGGGAAAGGGCGUGGAGAUAAUCCCUACCCCAGACCAGAAUGAAACAGACUUAACCAAGUGUCUUAGAAUUUUAAUAAGCAACAAAAGCAUCAGUGAGUUUGAUCAGAUUGUUGUUAUGAAUGCAUUUGGUGGACGUCUUGACCACACCAUGGCUAACAUAGAAACCAUGUUUCACAUCACAAAGCUGACAAACAAACCCCUUUAUUUGAUGUCCGAGGACUCAGUAGCUUGUCUUCUCAUGCCGGGAAAUCAUGUCAUCCACGCGAACACUGGUUUAGAAGGAGACUGGUGCGGGCUUAUACCGAUAGGCGCCAAGUGUACACACAUUACUACAACUGGCCUGAAAUGGAACUUAAGUGAUGGUCAGUUAGAGUUUGGAACCUUGGUCAGUACAUCAAACACAUAUGACGGAAGUGGAGUUGUUACCAUAGAAACCGACACCACUGUUUUGUGGACCAUGGGAGUUAAAUAAAAUAAAUCAACCAAAGAAAAAACUGUAGACAUGUAAGAUAUAGGACAAAAAUGAAGUUCUCAAAGAUAGCUUGUGACUCAAUGAAGAGUCAGUUCCUCAGUUUGAGAAUGAGAGAAAGUAUAUUUUUGAAACCACUUGAGCUGAGAGUUCCUUCCCUCGAUGUUUGUAAUAUAAAUUAUAAUUUUUUAUUAAUAUAUUUUUUUGUAUGCAUACUUUUACAGCAUCAAAAAAAUUUACAAUUUACGUUUUUCUCGGUGUAAUAAACACGUGUACUGUGCCCAGAAUAAGUUGCUUAAUUGACGAAAUUUUACUGAGGUUUGUGUUGUCUCAUAAAUUAUAUAUCAUUAUAUAUACCUGACAAUAUUAUUGCAAUAAUAUGAG
Molecule: non-coding RNA, 1443 nt
Organism: Pocillopora verrucosa
Lineage: Eukaryota; Metazoa; Cnidaria; Anthozoa; Scleractinia; Pocilloporidae
Source: RefSeq, a predicted model, not a curated record